UGGGGAAUAUUGCACAAUGGGGGAAACCCUGAUGCAGCGACGCCGCGUGAGCGAAGAAGGUUUUCGAAUCGUAAAGCUCUGUCCUAUGGGAAGAUAAUGACGGUACCAUAGGAGGAAGCCCCGGCUAACUACGUGCCAGCAGCCGCGGUAAUACGUAGGGGGCAAGCGUUGUCCGGAAUCACUGGGCGUAAAGGGUUCGCAGGCGGAAAUGCAAGUCAGUUGUGAAAGGCAGAGGCUCAACCUCUGUAAGCAAUUGAAACUGUAUUUCUUGAGAUGUGGAGAGGAAAGUGGAAUUCCUAGUGUAGCGGUAAAAUGCGUAGAUAUUAGGAAGAAUACCGGUGGCGGAGGCGACUUGCUGGACACAAACUGACGCUGAGGAACGAAAGCGUGGGUAGCAAACAGG
RNAcentral lists this ribosomal RNA (403 nucleotides) under Fusobacteriota bacterium. RNAcentral describes it as "Fusobacteria bacterium partial 16S ribosomal RNA". It matches the Rfam family "Bacterial small subunit ribosomal RNA", at positions 355 to 776 of the family's 1533-position model. The record is from RNAcentral. Lineage: Bacteria; Fusobacteriati; Fusobacteriota.